Molecule: ribosomal RNA, 494 nt
Filed under: uncultured bacterium
Lineage: Bacteria
Description: partial 16S ribosomal RNA
Rfam family: Bacterial small subunit ribosomal RNA
Source: RNAcentral
GACGAACGCUGGCGGCGCGCUUAACACAUGCAAGUCGAACGGAAAGGCCUGCUUUCCCUUGUGGAUUGCGGGUACUCGAGUGGCGAACGGGUGAGUAACACGUGAGUGAUCUGCCCCCAACUUGGGUAUAAGCCUGGGAAACUGGGUCUAAUUCCCGAUAGGACUGCAGGGUGGUGCCUGUGGUGGAAAACGAUUUUCUAGUGGUUGGGGAUGAGCUCGCGGCCUAUCAGCUUGUUGGUGGGGUAAUGGCCUACCAAGGCGGCGACGGGUAGCCGGCCUGAGAGGGUGGACGGCCACAUUGGGACUGAGAUACGGCCCAGACGCCUACGGGAGGCAGCAGUGGGGAAUAUUGCACAAUGGGCGGAAGCCUGAUGCAGCGACGCCGCGUGGGGGAUGACGGCCUUCGGGUUGUAACCUCCUUUCGACCGCGAGGAAGCCACCUGGUUGGAAGGGUGGUGACGGUAGUGGUAGAAGAAGCACCGGCUAACUACGUG